Molecule: long non-coding RNA, 1841 nt
Organism: Taeniopygia guttata (zebra finch)
Lineage: Eukaryota; Metazoa; Chordata; Aves; Passeriformes; Estrildidae
Source: RefSeq, a predicted model, not a curated record
CUACGAACGCCUCGGGGAGCAUCCGCCGGGGCCGGCCGCGCUGCUCCUGGUGCUCCUGAUGAGCUGCAUCAGCUCAUCCCAGCCCACCACCACGGAUGGAGAGCCAUGAGGUGCCCGGAAAGAGGCGGCCUGAGCCCCAGAUGCUCCGGCUGGAGGUCGCCACCAGUGUCGGGCGCGGUGGCCGCAGGCAGCGGGGUGACCUCGGCCUGUGGGCACCGCCGGGCUGCGCGCACGGAGGCUGAGGGAGAGCGGAGCGUGGUGCUGCAGCGUCGGAAUCUGAGACCAUGUCGGAGCUGAGAGCAUCCAGCCGGGACGGCUCAAGGCCCAGGGAAAUCAGGCAGCUGCCCAAAGCAGCCAGGGCCUCCCUGCCUGUGCUGGAGUGCUGCAACACCCCUGGGCUCCUGCCACUGAGGGAGGGCUGGGAAUGAGCAUCCAUCACUUCCUGCACCAGCAGCCACCAGGGCAGCACACAAAGAUCUUCUCCCACUCCCCUUCCUCAUCCUGACUCUCCUCCUGAAGACCACCAGGCAUAGAUUGAGAAGCUCUGAGCUGGAUUUGUCCCUUGCCACACUGAUUAGACUGAAAGGUCUCAUGCCACAUGGUGGAUUUUUGGGGUUUUCUCCCAAGUCCAUGUUCUUCAUCCUCCAUCCAUAGGUCAUUUCUGGAUGUAAAGCAUAGAGUGUGUUUGUGAUGAUCAAGGCUAAAAUCUCUCCCAUAUCACACAGGCUGAGCCCAGGGUUGGACCCUAUUCUUGACUGGGUACAGCUGGGUUAGACAGAGCUUGGCUGAGCUGGUCCAAGACCUUGUCCAGCCCCUGCUUCUGGCUGUGCACAGGAGCAGGCACAGGUGAGGCUUUGUUGGUCCCCUGGGCUCAAGGUGAUACUGGACUGAGCACCUGCAGCUUUGUAGUCACUGGGAUGCUCUUCUUGGUUGCCUCAUCCCUGGGUUUCUGUGGAAAUUCCACUAACAUCACCCAGGACCUGCAGAGGAUGACACUUGCUGGGGUUUAUCCACUGAGGUCUCCACUUUUUCUACAUAGACUAUCUCAAUCCAAAUGACCAAAGCGUUCCCCAAAACUGGAUUUGUUUCCAUAAUUGCCUUCACCUUCUUGCCACCACAUUUCCCCAGCAGGACACAGAUGAUUCUCCCAGCCCUGGGCUGCCCAGCAGAGUCGUCUCUGCCCAGGCCUCAAAACCAAACACUUCUGCUCCAAAUUCCAUUCGAGGUGGUGAUGCCUCCUACAAAGCAGAGUUUUAUCUGCUGAGGACCAGCAUUGGUGCCUGAAGUCUGGAAUGGGUGCAACAUAUUCAUGGAAACAGUCUGUCCCAGCCUGUAUCAAGCCAAAGGUAGAAAACACAGGAGCAUGGCUUUGCCUCAUUUUGUGUUUUUAAAAUCAAAAUAUGUACAAGCAGAAUUGCUUUUACCCACCAGGGAAGCUCUGCAUGACAUCUGUUACCUUCUGUAUACGUGCAAUGCCUGUCUCUCAUCUCCUGCUGGUCACUAAAGAACUUGAGCCUGUUACUCCCACAUGUCCAAAAGGAGAUUCAGCAUUUGCAUCUCAUUGCAGGUGUCACACUUUGUUAACAUCUAAUGUUUCAUGCUUCUCAUGCAAUGGGUGACAAGAUGACUUCAAAUGCUAAUAACAUAAACAAGCACGAUUUAAAAAUGCUAAUAAAACAAAUAAAAAAGGUCCUUUAUGUUCCUCAAAUAAUAAUAAUAAUAAUAAUAAUAAUAAUAAUAAUAAUAAUAAUAAUAAUAAUAAUAGUUCUGUUUUAAUGAAAGGUGGAAUCUCUUGCUCCUGAGAGGAAAGAUUGCUAGCUGGAAUAAAGAGUGUUCAGCCC